GUGUUAUUCUUUAGGGCUUGUAGAGGCCAGUGGGAAGCAAACACCCAAUCCACAUCACACAGAUGCUGCUGAGGAACCUGGGGAAGAAGGAGAAACAAAACCAAAGCAUAAACCCUUUGUCCCAGCUAUGGUGCCUCCAAAAA
This is a long non-coding RNA of Cyprinus carpio (common carp), 143 nucleotides long. RefSeq lists it as uncharacterized. The record is from RefSeq and is a predicted model, not a curated record. The transcript is spliced from 4 exons. Lineage: Eukaryota; Metazoa; Chordata; Actinopteri; Cypriniformes; Cyprinidae.